Molecule: long non-coding RNA, 1086 nt
Organism: Brassica napus (rape)
Lineage: Eukaryota; Viridiplantae; Streptophyta; Magnoliopsida; Brassicales; Brassicaceae
Exons: 2
Source: RefSeq, a predicted model, not a curated record
UAAAACUUCAUUUUUUCAUAAUAUAACUAUAGUAUUAAAUUUAAAUUCAAAAUUUAAUUAUUUUAAAAUACAAUAUAUAAUAUAAAUGCUAAACUUCAUACACUAAAUCAUAAAUCUACACCCUAAAUCUAAUCUCUAAACCCCAAAAUUAAACUCUACAUACAAAGUUAUAAAUUUAAUCUUUUCAAUUUAGUAAAUCACACAACAUCAAAACUCAAAUACAAAAAUAUAGAUUUCAAAUUUUAAAUUAUAAUAUCAAAUUAAUUAAAGUUUAGCUAAUUUAAUAAUAACUAUAAAUAAAUAAAAAGGUAAUAUGUAUUGUUUUUUGAGCCAUUGAUUGAUUUAGAUCAAAGGUCCAAAAUCAUUCUUUCAGCUAUCCUCAUCUUUUUUUUCUAUUGGUUUGGCAUGGAUCACCUUUUCCACCCUUGGAUAAUAUUGAAUCAACGUUCAAGAUUAAUUGUAGUUUUACAUUUGUUUUUUAAUUAUUUUUGAGAUCUGAGAUCUCGUGUUUGAGAAGAGAGAGAGAGUUACAGAAGCGAAAGAUAUAGAGAGAGAUGGAGUUCGAGAUGGUAGAGUUGUGUCGGAGAAGACAUGGGAAGGGGCUCGAUUCCGUCGCACUCCCUUCGAUUCCGUCGCAGUCUUCACCACCACCACCAUGGUCACCUCUCUCUCUCUCUCUGUUUUGAUUAUGUUUUUCUUUGUGGGCAGAGCUGGUGGUCGUGAGCAGAGGAGACAAUACGGUGGUACCCAGGACUGGUAUGUCUCUGGUCAAGAUCUGCGUUGGCUUCACCUCCUCACCACCACCACAGAUUUGUUAAGGAGCAGGGAAGUAAAAUCAGUGGUGUGACAUAGCGGCGACUUUGGUCAAGCGUGAUGCAGCAGUGGUGCAAGCCGGUGGUGGGGUGGUGGUCGUGCGGUGUAGAUACGGCAGGGACUGAAGAAGAUCGUCUGAUUGUAGUUUGGUGGGUGUAUAAGUUUAUUAGGUUUAGUUAGGGUUAAUUACUAAACCAAUUUGUAACUGUAAACCAAUGUAAUUGUAAACCAAAAUUCAAUUUACAAAAAUACCAAUUUAUUAUUUUUAGUCAA